GACGAACGCUGGCGGCGUGCUUAACACAUGCAAGUCGAACGAAGAGCGACGGAAGCUUGCUUCUAUCAAUCUUAGUGGCGAACGGGUGAGUAACGCGUAAUCAACCUGCCCUUCAGAGGGGGACAACAGUUGGAAACGACUGCUAAUACCGCAUACGAUCUAAUCUCGGCAUCGAGGAUGGAUGAAAGGUGGCCUCUACAUGUAAGCUAUCACUGAAGGAGGGGAUUGCGUCUGAUUAGCUAGUUGGAGGGGUAACGGCCCACCAAGGCGAUGAUCAGUAGCCGGUCUGAGAGGAUGAACGGCCACAUUGGGACUGAGACACGGCCCAGACUCCUACGGAAGGCAGCAGUGGGGAAUCUUCCGCAAUGGACGAAAGUCUGACGGAGCAACGCCGCGUGAGUGAUGACGGCCUUCGGGUUGUAAAGCUCUGUUAAUCGGGACGAAAGGCCUUCUUGUGAAUAGUGAGAAGGAUUGACGGUACCGGAAUAGAAAGCCACGGCUAACUACGUG
RNAcentral lists this ribosomal RNA (510 nucleotides) under uncultured bacterium. RNAcentral describes it as "partial 16S ribosomal RNA". It matches the Rfam family "Bacterial small subunit ribosomal RNA", at positions 28 to 507 of the family's 1533-position model. The record is from RNAcentral.